GACGAACGCUGGCGGCGUGCUUAACACAUGCAAGUCGAACGGAAAGGCCCUGCUUUUGUGGGGUGCUCGAGUGGCGCACGGGUGAGUAACACGUGGGUAACCUGCCCUUGACUUUGGGAUAACUUCAGGAAACUGGGGCUAAUACCGGAUAGGAGCUCCUGCUGCAUGGUGGGGGUUGGAAAGUUUCGGCGGUUGGGGAUGGACUCGCGGCUUAUCAGCUUGUUGGUGGGGUAGUGGCUUACCAAGGCUUUGACGGGUAGCCGGCCUGAGAGGGUGACCGGCCACAUUGGGACUGAGAUACGGCCCAGACGCCUACGGGAGGCAGGAGUGGGGAAUAUUGCACAAUGGGCGGAAGCAUGAUGCAGCAACGCCGCGUGGGGGAUGACGGCCUUCGGGUUGUAAACCGCUUUCGCCUGUGACGAAGCGUGAGUGACGGUAAUGGGGAAAGAAGCACCGGCUAACUACGU
Molecule: ribosomal RNA, 467 nt
Filed under: uncultured bacterium
Lineage: Bacteria
Description: partial 16S ribosomal RNA
Rfam family: Bacterial small subunit ribosomal RNA
Source: RNAcentral